This 121-nucleotide ribosomal RNA is filed under the name Dasypus novemcinctus (nine-banded armadillo). The record is from RNAcentral. Lineage: Eukaryota; Metazoa; Chordata; Mammalia; Cingulata; Dasypodidae.
AUCUAUGGCUAUAUCAACCUGAACAUGUCUGAUAUAGACUGAUGUCUGAUUUCUAAAGCUAAUCUGGGUGGGGUCUAGUUAGUACCUGGAGACUGCUUGGGAAUAAUAGGUGUUGUAGGCU